This 440-nucleotide ribosomal RNA is filed under the name uncultured bacterium. RNAcentral describes it as "partial 16S ribosomal RNA". It matches the Rfam family "Bacterial small subunit ribosomal RNA", at positions 338 to 795 of the family's 1533-position model. The record is from RNAcentral.
CCUACGGGCGGCAGCAGUGGGGAAUAUUGCACAAUGGGGGAAACCCUGAUGCAGCAACGCCGCGUGAGUGAAGAAGUACCUCGGUACGUAAAGCCCUAUCAGCAGGGAAGAAAAUGACGGUACCUGACUAAGAAGCCCCGGCUAACUACGUGCCAGCAGCCGCGGUAAUACGUAGGGGGCAAGCGUUAUCCGGAUUUACUGGGUGUAAAGGGAGCGGAGACGGCGGGGCAAGUCAGAUGUGAAAUCCCGGGGCUCAACCCCGGGAGUGCAUUUGAAACUGGCAGGCUGGAGUGCCGGAGAGGUAAGCGGAAUUCCUGGUGUAGCGGUGAAAUGCGUAGAUAUUAGGAGGAACACCGGUGGCGGAGGCGGCUUACUGGACUGUAACUGACGUUGAGGCUCGAAAGCGUGGGGAGCAAACAGGAUUAGAUACCCGGGUAGUC